Molecule: non-coding RNA, 1075 nt
Organism: Coffea arabica (coffee)
Lineage: Eukaryota; Viridiplantae; Streptophyta; Magnoliopsida; Gentianales; Rubiaceae
Source: RefSeq, a predicted model, not a curated record
AAACACUUUCGGGUAUCACCUAUCUCUUUAAAGUCAUCUGUCUUCUUCUUAUUUAGUUCUCAAUUCCAACGAUACGAUUGAAUUCCCAGGCAAAGGUUUCCACUUUGGUCCAUACUUUCUCUUGGUCCAAUUGUUGUUGCUACAAAGGGACAAAAGGCAAAACAGUCCACUCACAAGCGAAAGCGAAGACGAUGCAAAAAUUGCAAGUCAUUUGGACAUGAUAGACGAAAAUGUACUAAAGUGUGCACAGAUGCAUAUGAAACUCACAAUUAUGAUCAUGUUGGGGCACCCAAUAAUGUUGAGAAUGUAAAUUUGAAUCUGAUAGGAUCAUCCGAUGGCCUAUUGCAAUCAGAUUCACAGCAUGGAUGCAAUAAGGAAUUAAUGGAUAGUAAUUGGUUUCAGAUCAUUCCUCCUGGUCAGGCAUUAAUGUGGGCAUGCAAUCCUUCAUUAAUCCAAAGUCAUGUACAAAACACUAGCUUGUUAGGAGAUGAAAAGUAUUCAGUGAAUGAACCAGAUUUCAGCCAAGACCAUUAAGGAAUUUUAUUCUUGAGAGAGUACAAAUGUUUUUGCACGUCUUUGCUCAAAGCUUUUAGGAUGAUUUAAGUUUCUUCGAAGCUUGCUUGGAAAAAAGUUUGGUGAUCAAAUUUCAGAUAUUGUUAGCAUCCAAGUGCUCUUGGGUUUGUAAACCAGAAAUGUCAAUCCAAACUGAAGCUUUUGAUAGUGAUAUCAGAGCCCUUGAUGCUGGUGAUCAAAUUCUCAAAUCAAGUUACUAGCCUUUUGAUUGCUUCAGAUUUCUGAAGCCAAAGUCUUUGUGCUCUAAAUUCAGUUCUUGGCCAUGUAAUCUUGUCAUGCUUAGAUAGCUAUAUCUAGUGUCCUGCCAGCUUAAUUUUGAUGCGUAAGUAUCAAUUAUUAAAAGUUAGAUUCAUUCUGAUGCUCAAAAUGAGCCGUUUUCUCCUAUUUUGAAAUACCAAUUUCAUAUCAAAUGUCUUGUGCAUGUAGAUUUUGCUGUUUACUUCAAAUUGGACUGGCUUACUUGAUGAGCAGAACUCGAAAAGCAACUCAAAUACUCAUGUUA